AUAAAGUCUGAGAUUUUUUCAAUCCUCUUUUUUGGAAACAUCUGGCAGGUGGAUCAAAUGAAGAUUUUGGCUGUCCUCGUAUUUCUUGUCUCCCUGACUUGCUCUUCAGCCAGUGAUGUUAUUGCUGUGAAGCACCAAGGAAAUACCGACACCAGCACCCACCAGGCGGUGAAGGUUAACCAGCAAGAUCAAACGGCCAAUAUCCACAACUACAAUGCGUGGAACGGAUG
Lacerta agilis (Sand lizard) is the source of this 230-nucleotide long non-coding RNA. RefSeq lists it as uncharacterized. The record is from RefSeq and is a predicted model, not a curated record. Lineage: Eukaryota; Metazoa; Chordata; Lepidosauria; Squamata; Lacertidae. The transcript has 3 exons.